RNAcentral lists this long non-coding RNA (322 nucleotides) under Bos taurus (domestic cattle). RNAcentral describes it as "long non-coding RNA NONBTAT016012". Lineage: Eukaryota; Metazoa; Chordata; Mammalia; Artiodactyla; Bovidae. The record is from RNAcentral.
AUUUAGGAGGCCAAAGCUGAAACUUGGAGUAGGUGCCUACUUAAUGGUAUUAAUAAAACAAAUGAAUUAGCCUUAUUUUCAAGGCUUUUAUAAACAAUUGUCAUUCUUUUAACCCGUAUUUGUGCCUUUUCACUUUAAUGCUAAAACUUUUAUGCAUAAACUUAAAAAAAAAAUCUUCCCAUCACCAAAUCUGGCUAAUAGUUUUCUGUUUUAGUGGCAUUAGCAACUGUAGCUACAUUCUGUAAUUAUAAUUGUCCGGUGUUUUUUUUUUGAAACACCCCUAAAUUUUUCUUAACCUUAAAAGAUUUUAGGUGUUUAAAAA